AACGAGAUUGCAAAUUGGCGUCGCCUCUGCCCGUGGCCGCACACCACACCAUAGCCGCCAGCAGCAAAGCAGUGUCGAGGCGCUGGAGCGCCGCCCUUCGCCACCUUCCAGCCCAUGGUCUCCGCCAGCUGCUAGCCCUCCGCUCACUGCUCGUUGGUCUGCGCUAUGCUGCGGCCACGCUUCCGGCCGCCGCCCAUAGGGCAGAUCCAGGAGGGGGAACUGCGGUGACCACCGGAGCCAGAGGUUCGAGCCGCCGCCGAGGGUGCGGGCCGCGAGAGGCGCUUGGCUGUGGGCCUGAACGGCCAGCAGCGGCGAGGCCUGUGCGGGUGGGCGGCGGUGCGGCCUAGCGUGGUGCGGCCUAGCGUGGCGCGGGAGUCGGGAGGUGGGCGGGCUGCGGACUUGCGGCGCAGCGACGACCAACGGAGCAGGAGGUCCGAGCCGCCGACGGCAUGGGCGGCGCAUGGCUGCAGGGCCAGCCGGACUAGCCGUGGCAACUACUCGGCUGCGGGGCGGCGCGGCGGUUGCUGAGGGCGCCGGCGGAGAAUAACCAGUGACCAGCCAGUUGCUGGGUUGCAUUUGAUUUCAUUUUACUGUAUUUGAUUGCGUUUUCCAGCGUUGCAACUUGCAAAAUUUAUUGCAUAGAUAGUUUUUAGAAUGUAGAUGGAAAAUGAGAUGAUGCUCUUUUACAAUCAUGAUAUGCCGUUGAUUUCAACAAUGUCUGCAUCUUAAACUCUUAAUUUUUUUAUUUGUGUGAUACAAGUAUGAACUGUCGAUUAUGGAAUUUUGUGCAUGGUUAAUGUCUUAAUUUUUGAUAUAGGAGUAUGAUCCAUCGUUAUAUUUUCAGAUCUGAAAAUAAAGAGGAAGAAAAGACAUGUGGUUGAUCUUAAGGGUUAUAUUUGAAAAGAGCUGGUUGAAAGAACACAACUUAAAAUAAUAAUCAAGGUGAAACGCCAAGUGUGUCACUGAUGAACAGAAGUUGGGUGAAUACUAGGUUAUUUAGCAAGGAACAUCUAGAUGGGGUCACUGAGUUCUUGAAUUGUCAUACCAAGAUGAGGAGCAAGAAAAUACUAGUUUUCAGGUUGCAGAUCUUGAGAGAGCUUCAAACAACGAACAACCGAGCAACAAUGAAGGUGGUAUUUGUGUUCAGGCUUCCCUAGUUGAUCAAACCCGGAGGGAAAGGGAAUUGGAAGUUGAAGAUAAUGGCUUUGAAGAUGAUGCUGACGAAACUCUAAGACAAUAUGACAGCGAAAAUGAAGGGCCAAUCCAUGAUGAUGGUGAAUAUAGUGAUUUUGAGUAAAUUAUUUGUGUAUGGCUAUUCCUACCAUGACCUGUUGUUAUAAUAUGGCGUUCAUGACAGGAAUGACGUGGCUGAGCUUCGAAUUUGAUGGCUGGUGUUAGUGUAGUUGAACUUUGAGGCUUGAAGGUGUAUGUGGCUGCUAGAACUUGGUGCUAGCUGCUGGUUGCUUGCAGUUUGGCGCUUUUGGUGGCUGGAGUUUUUUUUUUUUUUUUUUUUUUUUUUUUUUUUUUUUUGCGUUGGUUGCUGGGACCUAGGAUUUUUUGGCACUAGUUGCUGGCAGGAUGCAUACCCCAAGUGCAGUGGUUGCUCGAUGGAAUUCUUUUUGUUAGGUGCUGGCAAGAUGCACGCUGAAACUUAGUAGUGGUUGCUUGCUGAAUUUUUUUGGUGCAGGAACUUGGCAGUACCUGUAAGAACUUUGUAGUCGGCUAGGACUCGUUGUAGUUGGAUGGUGGAUAGAUCAUUUUUAAUUUUUAUUCAUGUUUUGUGGCAUUGAAUGGAAAGACGUUGGAAACUGUAUUCUAGAACUUGCUUUUGUAUGUGCUGGGAAAUUAAUUAUGUAUGGAAUGUGAUUAUUCUAU
This is a long non-coding RNA of Oryza brachyantha (malo sina), 1875 nucleotides long. RefSeq lists it as uncharacterized. The transcript is spliced from 3 exons. The record is from RefSeq and is a predicted model, not a curated record. Lineage: Eukaryota; Viridiplantae; Streptophyta; Magnoliopsida; Poales; Poaceae.